CAGUUUGAUCUCAGACUGCUGUGCUAGCAAUCAGCAAGACUCCGUGGGCGUAGGACCCUCCAAGCCAGGUGCGAUAUAAUGUCGUGGUGCGCCGUUUUUUAAGCUGGUUGGAAAAGCGCAGUAUUCGCGUGGGAGUGACCCGAUUUUCCAGUGAGAUGAACCCGGUACCUCAGAUUGAAAUGCAGAAAUCACCCGUCUUCUGCGUCGCUCACGCUGGGAGCUGUAGACCGGAGCUGUUCCUAUUCGGCCAUCUUGGCUCCUCCCUCAGUUCUGGAGACUGGGACAUCCAAGGUCAAUGUGCUGGCAGAUUCAAUGUCUGGAUUGGCAAACACAAAUCAUGUUCCAAGUUCUGCCUUCCACCUGAGUGAAAUACAUCACCGCUUUCCCUGCUCCCGCCGCCAUUAAAAUUGUGUUUGGCAUCUGACCACCAAGAUACAGAUAUUUCCUAGACUGUUUUGCAGCUAGGUACUUAGGAGUAACAUGAUGUGAUUUCAUUUGUUAAUGAAUCUCAUUCUUACUAAUACAUGGAGAGUGGAUUGGAGGCCAGAGUGGAAGUAGAGACCAGUUGAAAAGGCAGUAAUAAUGUUUGGAGUUGGUCGGAGAAGACCCUUUCCCAUUCUCUUUUGCUCCAGACCUUCCCAAAACGCAACCACUCAAGUUUUACAGGGUAAUUUUGGAGAAUGUCCCAUGUAUCCAAGAAUGUGUUUUCUGCAGCUGCUGCAUAAAAUGUGUUAGUCUACAACCAAGACAGCUCAA
Molecule: long non-coding RNA, 756 nt
Filed under: Homo sapiens (human)
Lineage: Eukaryota; Metazoa; Chordata; Mammalia; Primates; Hominidae
Description: HSALNT0008866
Source: RNAcentral